GACAGAGGGUGCAAACGUUGCUCGGAAUUACUGGGCGUAAAGCGCGUGUAGGCGGACCGAUAAGUCAGAUGUGAAAGCCCUGGGCUCAACCCAGGAACUGCAUUUGAAACUGUCGGUCUUGAGUGGUGGAGAGGGAAGUGGAAUUCCUGAUGUAGAGGUGAAAUUCGUAGAUAUCAGGAGGAACACCGGUGGCGAAGGCGGCUUCCUGGACACCAACUGACGCUGAGACGCGAAAGCGUGGGGAGCAAACAGG
RNAcentral lists this unclassified non-coding RNA (253 nucleotides) under uncultured Myxococcales bacterium. Its description in RNAcentral is "contains 16S-23S intergenic spacer region". It matches the Rfam family "Bacterial small subunit ribosomal RNA", at positions 524 to 776 of the family's 1533-position model. The record is from RNAcentral. Lineage: Bacteria; Pseudomonadati; Myxococcota; Myxococcia; Myxococcales.